Molecule: long non-coding RNA, 603 nt
Filed under: Homo sapiens (human)
Lineage: Eukaryota; Metazoa; Chordata; Mammalia; Primates; Hominidae
Description: HSALNT0073555
Source: RNAcentral
GGAAGGCCGACAUUCACUCAGGGUUUUCGAUCGCACGAUGUUGCCUUCUGCAGUGCUUAGUGUUUAAUCAUCGUGACCAUUUCAUUGUGACCAUUUUAGCGUUAAAAAAAAUUGAACUAGCAUUAGGUGUGUUAAAUAAGAUACUUUGUGACACGUGUACCUGUCAUUUCUUUUGUCUUACUGGAUUUGUGCUCCAAGCACAAGUGGUUACUAUACUUGCUCUCGGGGAACGGAGACAAAGAAAUCAGUCGCAGAAGAAAUUGUGUUGGCGAAACCUACAAAAUUUAUGUCUUAAAAGUUUUAAUAGCCAGUAUGUCUGCAGUGUCUUUCGUCCCAAAGUAUUCCAGCUGGUCUUUCUUAUUAGGAAGAAACUACUAGACUAACAGUUUGCGAACUUGUUUCCUCUCCAGACCCGACUAAGACUGUGUCUGGUUGGUCGCAGUUACUUGACCUUUUAAUGCUGAAUCCUUUUUUCUGAGGAAUCAGGCUAGCAGUACCUUCCUUGCCUACUUCACAGCGUUAUCAGAGCAAGUCAGAUAAUACGGGUUAAAGUGCUUGAUUAUUCAAAUGGGAUAUUUCAAAAAUAGUGGCUUUCUUGUUUUC